UGCCCUCACGUGCCACCUGUGCUUUGUGGGGUUGAUACUGAGCACCUGUGGGGCUUCUCUGCUUUUUGAGGCACAGCUGUGGCCCUUUCAGUCACCGAAAUCAGCACCUGGAGUGCAGGAGGUGCAAUCAGUGCUGCAGUAGAAGGCUCUGAGCUUUGGGUUUUGCUGGCCUUCUGGUUGCUCCUGAGACAGCAAGAAGCUCACAACUGCUGAGCAGGAGACGUGCACUGCUUCCUGCAGGGUACACCUGUGAACAUGGGAGUGCAACUCAGUAAGGAGCCCUUCAUUGUGGUUUACAAAAAAACAUCCAAGAGGGUGCAAAAAGAAGUUCCAGAAACUGCUGCAACACAUCCUUCAAAGUCUGAGGACUUCCAGGAUACUGCCAAAGAGAUGGCUAAGGAAACCUGCCAGGCUGCUCCAGAUGCAAGCAAAAGACUGUAAAAGUGAUCCAAGAGCAAGUCCUCUGUGUUGGAGGUGUGGGAGGAAACUGCUUAUAAAAAUUGUCCUUCUGUACAUUGCAUCAUGGACUAGUUAAUAGACAACAGCAGAUAUUCAUGUAUUUAACUGGAAAUGGCCAUACUUGGAAAUGGACAUCUUUUCCCUGUGCUGGAUGAUCUCCUGUGGCUUGACAUAUCUACUCCUAGCAGAUGUGUAUCUUAACCAGACUGAUUCUGGUCCUUGUAUACGUGAAAUAUAACACCCUUUUAGGAAACUGUUACCCUGCUAGAAGCUGUCUGUUAUGAUCUAGUGACAUACUGAGUUUAAAAUGAGUACUUCAUGUGCACUAUUACAUAGCAUCAGUGAGGUUCUUGAAUGCAUUGAGCCCUCUACUACCAACACUUGCUUGAUGCAGAUAAUUCUACAGGUCUUGCAACUUGAACACAAAUGAAGUUAUUUGAAAGAUGCAGGUAGUCUCAGUAAAAUGAAGACAACUGCAGGAACUGAAGAAACCUGAGCUCUGUAAUGGAUGUUCUGUAACCUGAGUGUUUAUAACCUGGAUGUCAUCCACUUACCACUGAAGUAAUUUUUUGGUAAUGCUCUAACUAGACUUGAGGGAUCUCUUUGGAUUAAGAGUUGUGCUGGGCAAAAAGACCUCAUCCUAAAAGCAGAGGUAGUGUAGCUCUCCUGCAGUGACUGUACUCUGAGGCUGUAAUGACAGAACAAAGUCCUUGGCCGUAACUGUAAUAAGGUGGAAAUGCCUUGCUCUCUAAUUGAGGUUCAGACUGUUUUGAAAUUCGCACUUGAAAAGAAAACUGAGAUGUUUGCAACAUGAUUCUUCAAAGUGUUUCUAAACCUGUGCUCUCUCCCCUCUGAAGUUUCACUUGGGUUGAAAGCAGCUUCAUUAUUUUUUUAUCUGCUUUCACUUAUGAUGCUGUUGUCUCAAGCUGUUUGAUCUAUCUUUUUGCUAACCCCAUUUCUACUCAGUCCAGUACAGAUUAAGGUGGGGAUGUGAUUUAAGGUCUCUGAAUCAUGUCUGUGGUCUAAAGACACGGUCACCUUUCAUUACUGCCUUUUUCCUUCAGUCACUGUAGGCUUCCAAGCAUCCGGUGCUCAAUGUGAGUUAUAGCCACACUCAGCUGUCCUGUAUAAAAUGCUUCUCUUCUAGAGUGUAUUGCUAUAAUGAGGAAUAGGGAAAGCAUAACAAAAACAGGGCAGUUCUCUAGAUGAUAGGAUAUAUUACCUGCUAGCUCAGUCUUAAGUGAGCUAGUUUUGCUUACCUGUGUUGGUACAAACUACAUUGGAUAUAAAAUCCAGAAUCCUGUUCCCUAUUAGCAUGAAUAGAUAGCUCAAGUGCUAAGCUCAUGAUGGGCAGACAGGUCAAGUCAAGGUUAGCAGUGGGAUGUGAUGAGCAGCUACAAAGAAAGAAAGAGCUCCAUUUUUUUUUUGGCAGGCUCUGAGAUGUUACAGUAUUAAAUUCAGUACACAUGGACACACUGAAUGAAGAGGCUGGGAAAUGGUUUGGGCGCUGGGAGCUGAUAAAUACACUGCAUCCUCCUCUCAAGGCCCACAGGCAACCUGGUGGAUUGCCGUGCUGGGGGAUUCAGCUGCAGUUCACUGGUAGGUGACUGGGACCUGCUUGGGGAUAUCAAAUCCAUCUGUAGCUGUAAGAUGCUAAUGUAACAGAUUUGCUUCCAGGUGGCAGCGAGCUUGUAUUUUACCAGGUCUUGACAGUGGGCAAAGCAGAGGACGAGUACUUCUCAGCCAGUAACCUGGGCUGUGCACCUCUUGUUCCCUAUGGCCAGCUGCAGAACAACUUGGUUUUUGUAGCUGUAUGAACAGAGUGGGCCUAUGAGUGCUCUGACAUGUGCAUGCACGCCUUUAAAGUUGGUCUGUCAAGUCAAAUAAGCAAGCUUUUGCAAGAGAAGUGUAACAGCCUUUCAGAUAGUAUGUCUGCAUGCUUUUUUCUAAUGCUGUAGAUGCAAAAGUAUCCACAGAGGCUAACACGAAAUAAGGCUUCUCAUCUGUUUCUUUUCCUUUUCCUGUUCUAAUGUGCUUUGUCAAGAGUCAUAAACCAACGUUGUUCAAAUAAAAUGUUACAAGCACUGAUCUAAGAAUAUUUUUAAGUGGUAUUAAAUAACAUUUUGGUGUGAUACAAAAGGGAAUGGUGUGAGGAGGAACUGAGUAAUGGAACUAAUAUUCAUGGACAUGUGAAGAAGUACUGUGUGAAGCUUUGGGGAUGGGGCUGGUAGCUUGUCUUGAUGUAUGCUGAAGUACUGGAACAGUAAUACUUAACUGCUUUGCCUUGAGCUUAUCUUCUACUGGAGGAUGUGGUGGAGUUGUUCUCUUUGAUAUGAAUGGUUUAUGUUCCUGUGCCACCUGCUAAUAAAAAAAUGAAAUGUAAACA
Non-coding RNA from Meleagris gallopavo (turkey), 2845 nucleotides. The record is from RefSeq and is a predicted model, not a curated record. NCBI's taxonomy places the organism in Eukaryota, Metazoa, Chordata, Aves, Galliformes, Phasianidae.